UACGUAGGGUGCGAGCGUUGUCCGGAAUUAUUGGGCGUAAAGAGCUUGUAGGCGGUCUGUCGCGUCUGCUGUGAAAAUCCGGGGCUCAACCCCGGACUUGCAGUGGGUACGGGCAGACUAGAGUGUGGUAGGGGAGACUGGAAUUCCUGGUGUAGCGGUGAAAUGCGCAGAUAUCAGGAAGAACACCCGUGGCGAAGGCGGCUCUCUGGUACGUGACUGACGCUGAGACGCGAAAGCGUGGGGAGCGAACAGG
Molecule: ribosomal RNA, 253 nt
Filed under: uncultured bacterium
Lineage: Bacteria
Description: partial 16S ribosomal RNA
Rfam family: Bacterial small subunit ribosomal RNA
Source: RNAcentral